This 613-nucleotide ribosomal RNA is filed under the name Bordetella sp. HPC505. Its description in RNAcentral is "bacterial SSU rRNA". It matches the Rfam family "Bacterial small subunit ribosomal RNA", at positions 67 to 631 of the family's 1533-position model. Lineage: Bacteria; Pseudomonadati; Pseudomonadota; Betaproteobacteria; Burkholderiales; Alcaligenaceae. The record is from RNAcentral.
CGUGUGAUUCCANAANGUUCCCNCUNAACAGGUCUGACCGUAACCCGGGCUUCGGCCUGGGUGGCAAGUGGCGCAACGGGUGAGUAAUGUAUCGGCAACGUGCCCAGUAGCGGGGGAUAACUACGCGAAAGCGUGGCUAAUACCGCAUACGCCCUACGGGGGAAAGCGGGGGACCUUCGGGCCUCGCACUAUUGGAGCGGCCGAUAUCGGAUUAACUAGUUGGUGGGGUAACGGCCUACCAAGGCGACGAUCCGUAUCUGGUUUGAGAGGACGACCAGCCACACUGGGACUGAGACACGGCCCAGACUCCUACGGGAGGCAGCAGUGGGGAAUUUUGGACAAUGGGGGCAACCCUGAUCCAGCCAUCCCGCGUGUGCGAUGAAGGCCUUCGGGUUGUAAAGCACUUUUGGCAGGAAAGAAACGGCACGGGCUAAUAUCCUGUGCAACUGACGGUACCUGCAGAAUAAGCACCGGCUAACUACGUGCCACCAGCCGCGGUAAUACGUAAGGUGCAAGCGUUAAUCGGAAUUACUGGGCGUAAAGCCGUGCCGCAGGCGGUUCGGAAAGAAAGAUGUGAAAAUCCCCAGGCUUUAACCUUGGAACUGCAUUUUUA